Pyronema omphalodes is the source of this 81-nucleotide non-coding RNA. The record is from the annotation of a GenBank genome assembly. Lineage: Eukaryota; Fungi; Ascomycota; Pezizomycetes; Pezizales; Pyronemataceae.
AGGUUUGUAGUUCAGUUGGUUAGAACACGGUCACUUAACAUGUUUGGGGGCCGUAUGUGGGUUCGAGUCCUACUAGACCCA